UAACCAUGUGAAGGAAAUGUAAACAGUUGAAUCGUGCUAACAUUUUUCGAAGCCGAUUUUCAGCCGGCAGUUACCUGGUCGUGGUGAGCCUCGCUGAAUUGCUUCCAAGAUAGCUGUGCACACUGUUGUUGUUCCAAAAAGCUGCUUUCAUUUUUCGUUCUCGCCUUUUCUCUUUCCUAUUAUUUUGCGUCCUUCAUCCAUUUUUAUUUUACAAAGUGACCGCACUUUCACUCAACGUGAAGAGUUGAAUCCCGUGGAUAUAUAUAUAUCCACGUCGUAUAUAAUUUCUUACAAUGACAGACUCGCAAAAGACAAGUUUCCGAACAAAACGUAUUGUAAGCAAACCUUUGUGAUAUAUGACAACCUCGUCAUCUGAUGAAGCCCUUAAGCGACAGAGAAUGGCAAAGGCAGUAGAUAUUGAUGAUGAUAUCAAUGAUCUUCGAAGAAUGAUGAAAUAAGAUGCUGAACGAUGCAACGAUGCCUUAUUGCAUAGUUUUAUGCAACCAAAUUGUAAUGCGCAACAACAAUCUGACCUGUGCACUUAGUUAAAAAUAAUGGAGCCACAACCACACUCAUACUCGCAGUCACAAAUACGAUCAGAGUUGUACACAUAUUCGGUGCCACAAACACACUCCGAUCUACACACUCACUCGCAUCCACAAACAGUAGCAGAGCUAAACACACACUUGCAGCCACAAACAGUAGCAGAGUUACACACACACUCGCAGCCACAAACAGUAGCAAAGCUACACACACACUCGCAGCCAGUAACAGUAGCAGAGCUACAUACACACUCGCAGCCAGAAACACAGCUAGAUACACACUCACAGCAUGAAAAUGACUCCAAUACAUACACACAUUUACAACAGCGAAUGGGCCCAUAUGGCCAAGCAACAAACAGUCCCAACUAACGUACAGAGGAAGGGAGACAGCAGCAUGUAUGGACAUACUUAUCACAACUUUGCGCAGGCUGGAGACAGGACAAAUAAUAGGAGAGAUGGGGUGCGUUCGGGGAGCACGCUAUUCGCACAAUAAGUAUCUAAGACCGUUCGAGGAGACGCUUUGUGGCGCUAUAAAAUCGAUAAUGACAUCACUCUCAAAGCAGCGUGACGUCAUUAUUCGCGCAAUUUUUCGCUAUCAUUUUCGAGGUAGGGCAGCAAAUGCUAUUAGCGCUAAUUGGCGCUUAUUCUUUCCUCGAACGUUCGAUUGUGCUUUAAAGUGUUAGUCUAUGAUCUGUUCUUUUUAACUGCUGUUCUUUCAACCAAUUACAACAGUGCAACCAGAAAGAACAAACCAAUUGCGUCAAAAGUCAAAUAAAGACAAUUUAUUAAACUGUGAGAAACUGUAUUCACAAUGGCUCAACCACUUAGUUAAAUAUCUGAAAAUGUCGAAAUUCAUCUUUUAGAUGAAAACGAUGUGACAUACACAAUAAAAGUAUCGCCAAAUGAUGCAGCGCGUGCAGAAAAUGAUACGAUAUUUACUACUUAUCUUCUAGAAAGAACAAAAUCACAAGAUUCAGAUUUUGAUGCAGCAAGUCUGUCAAUGGAGUCUUCCAAUUCUGAGGAUAAUAAUGAAUCAAUGUUUAAAUGGUCUCAUGCGGCAAUUCUAUUGCUGGUAGAAAAGUAUCGGCUGCAAAAAAAUAACAUUGUAUCGGGUAAAAUAUCCCAGAAAAAAGUAUAGAAUAAUAUUGCAUCAGCAUUAUUUGUUAAAGGCUAUAAUGUCACUGAACCUCAAUGUCUUUCAAAAUUUCACGGAAUGAAACGAACUUAUAAAUCUAUAAAAGAUCACAAUAGCAAAUCAGGGAAUAAUCUUAGAACAUGGCCUUAUAUGGAAGUCAUGGAAUCUUUGCUUGGUGAACGACCUAUUAUGUCGUCUCCAGCAAUAGCCUCUUCAAGCACUAUUCAAAUUGUCAGAAGCGCAAGGCACAAGAAAGUACAUCAAACAUUGCUGAAUCAAUUUUACAAAGUCGGAAAUUGGCUGAGAACAAUAGUGAUCAGAGGCACAAAGAAAACAUGGACUUUGAAAAGCAAAUGCUAAAAUUCAUGAGUAAAAUUUUAGACAAAUUAUAAAUGUUUUUAUUUUAAUUUACAUGCAACAAAGAUAAAACGAAGUUGUAGUACAAAUUAUAAGAUUGUUUCCUUUGUUUUUGAUAAAACAUGUACCAUUUAUUUUCUUGUUUACUUCUUUUAGUACAAUUAAUAUUUUAUUUAGUUUUGUAAAAUAUAGUAUAGUAGCUGGUACAUCUAUUAUACUGCGUUCUGUCUUCCUUAAUAUUUUAAACAUAUUCUUAAAAUUUGCUUUAUUUUUUAAUAUUAAUAAUUAAUAUUAAGUUUAUACACAUAAGUAUUCACUAAUGUCUUCCCAUUGUAAUUUGAAUUAUUUUGACGAUUUUCAACUUUAUGCCUAUACAUACAUAUUUUUAUAAUAUAGUUAAUUAGUUAGAUAAAGUUAUUACGUAAACAUGGUCAUAGACGCAACGCAUAAAGUUGUGAAAAUCGUACAAAUAACAGUUAUAAUAGCAAGAGAUUAAUAACUUCCUGUGUACAUCUGUGAUAAAUUGAAUAAUGAUUAAAUGCAUAAGUGAUACUUAAUGUUAAGAACACUGAUAUAUAAAAUAAGAUUUUUCUUUCUAUGUUGGAACAAUUAAAAUGUUUGGUAAAUAUUUCUGAUGAAAGUUAUGUGGAACAGAAUUACUACAUUCAGUUAACUUAAUUAGUCUAUUAUAACAAAAUUAAUCAAUCAUAUUGAUCAGAAAAAUAAAUUGGUUCAUUAAUUUUGCUGCUUGGUCGAUCGAAAAAGUUAACCAUUGUUAGUGAUAUUAGUUCUUUGUGUAUAACUAAAUAUUACAUUAUACUUAGUAUUACUUAUACAGUGUUACAUAUAUGUAACUUGUUUUUAUUUUUAUUGUACCUCAAGACAAUACAAAGUAUUUCAUUUUUAUUUUGUCGAAGGGAAUGAUUAAUUAAUAUUAAUGCUUGGUCGACCGAUUAAG
RNA transcript from Harpegnathos saltator (Jerdon's jumping ant), 2992 nucleotides. RefSeq lists it as uncharacterized. The record is from RefSeq and is a predicted model, not a curated record. NCBI's taxonomy places the organism in Eukaryota, Metazoa, Arthropoda, Insecta, Hymenoptera, Formicidae. The transcript is spliced from 5 exons.